This 422-nucleotide ribosomal RNA is filed under the name uncultured bacterium. Its description in RNAcentral is "bacterial SSU rRNA". It matches the Rfam family "Bacterial small subunit ribosomal RNA", at positions 96 to 496 of the family's 1533-position model. The record is from RNAcentral.
UGGCGGACGGGUGAGUAACGCGUAGACAACCUGCCUCUAAAUUGGGGACAACACCGCGAAAGUGGUGCUAAUACCGAAUGUGGUAUCUUGGUCGCAUGACUGAGAUAAGAAAGGUGGCCUCUGAAUAUGCUACCGAUUAGAGAUGGGUCUGCGUCUGAUUAGCUAGUUGGUGAGGUAACGGCUCACCAAGGCGACGAUCAGUAGCCGGUCUGAGAGGAUGAACGGCCACACUGGGACUGAGACACGGCCCAGACUCCUACGGGAGGCAGCAGUGGGGAAUCUUCCGCAAUGGACGAAAGUCUGACGGAGCAACGCCGCGUGAGUGAAGAAGGUCUUCGGAUUGUAAAGCUCUGUCGUUUGGGACGAACGUAUUCUAUGUAAAUAAUGUAGAGUAAUGACGGUACCAAAGGAGGAAGCCACGC